UACAGAGGUCUCAAGCGUUGUUCGGAUUCAUUGGGCGUAAAGGGUGCGUAGGCGGCGCGGUAAGUCGGGUGCGAAAUCUCGGAGCUUAACUCCGAAACUGCAUUCGAUACUGCCGUGCUUGAGGACUGGAGAGGAGACUGGAAUUUACGGUGUAGCGGUGAAAUGCGUAGAUAUCGUAAGGAAGACCAGUGGCGAAGGCGGGGCUCUGGACAGUUCCUGACGCUGAGGCACGAAGGUCAGGGGAGCAAACGGG
Molecule: ribosomal RNA, 253 nt
Filed under: uncultured bacterium
Lineage: Bacteria
Description: partial 16S ribosomal RNA
Rfam family: Bacterial small subunit ribosomal RNA
Source: RNAcentral